RNAcentral lists this non-coding RNA (26 nucleotides) under Homo sapiens (human). The record is from RNAcentral. Lineage: Eukaryota; Metazoa; Chordata; Mammalia; Primates; Hominidae.
CAGAGGCCUGACAGUCGUUUUAUCUA